The sequence is a small nuclear RNA, 81 nucleotides long. Its record names the gene U2. It matches the Rfam family "U2 spliceosomal RNA". From Rfam's summary of the family: U2 is a small nuclear RNA (snRNA) component of the spliceosome (involved in pre-mRNA splicing). Complementary binding between U2 snRNA (in an area lying towards the 5' end but 3' to hairpin I) and the branchpoint sequence (BPS) of the intron results the bulging out of an unpaired adenosine, on the BPS, which initiates a nucleophilic attack at the intronic 5' splice site, thus starting the first of two transesterification reactions that mediate splicing. The record is from Ensembl.
AUCGCUUCUCGGCCUUUUGGCUAAGAUCAAGUGUAGGAUUUUCCUUUCAGUCAUUCAAACUGAAUGAAAAGUUUACCCCUU